Molecule: small RNA, 28 nt
Filed under: Bombyx mori (domestic silkworm)
Lineage: Eukaryota; Metazoa; Arthropoda; Insecta; Lepidoptera; Bombycidae
Description: ovarian small RNA-4779
Source: RNAcentral
CCCAGGAUUAAGCGCGAGCUCAACCGAC